RNAcentral lists this ribosomal RNA (466 nucleotides) under uncultured bacterium. RNAcentral's name for it is "partial 16S ribosomal RNA". It matches the Rfam family "Bacterial small subunit ribosomal RNA", at positions 28 to 507 of the family's 1533-position model. The record is from RNAcentral.
GAUGAACGCUGGCGGCGUGCUUAACACAUGCAAGUCGAACGGAAAGGCUCCUGCUUGCAGGGGUACUCGAGUGGCGAACGGGUGAGUAACACGUGGGUGAUCUGCCCUGCACUUCGGGAUAAGCCUGGGAAACUGGGUCUAAUACCGGAUAGGACGAUGGUUUGGAUGCCAUUGUGGAAAGUUUUUUCGGUGUGGGAUGAGCUCGCGGCCUAUCAGCUUGUUGGUGGGGUAAUGGCCUACCAAGGCGUCGCCGGGUAGCCGGCCUGUGAGGGUGUACGGCCACAUUGGGACUGAGAUACGGCCCAGACUCCUACGGGAGGCAGCAGUGGGGAAUAUUGCACAAUGGGCGCAAGCCUGAUGCAGCGACGCCGCGUGGGGGAUGACGGCCUUCGGGUUGUAAACUCCUUUCGCUAGGGACGAAGCGCAAGUGACGGUACCUGGAGAAGAAGCACCGGCUAACUACGUG